RNAcentral lists this transfer RNA (66 nucleotides) under Rhizomys sumatrensis (large bamboo rat). RNAcentral's name for it is "tRNA-Lys". The record is from RNAcentral. Lineage: Eukaryota; Metazoa; Chordata; Mammalia; Rodentia; Spalacidae.
CAUUGUGAAGCUUUAAGCGUUAACCUUUUAAGUUAAAGACAGAGAAAAAAUUAUUCUCCACAAUGA